This 654-nucleotide long non-coding RNA is filed under the name Elaeis guineensis (African oil palm). RNAcentral's name for it is "long non-coding RNA (EGUI_LNC031611)". Lineage: Eukaryota; Viridiplantae; Streptophyta; Magnoliopsida; Arecales; Arecaceae. The record is from RNAcentral.
CUCCCAUCGAUGGGCCUUCUAGUCAUCCAUGUGAUCAUCUUCACCAUUGCUAGGCCCAGUGCUUUUGGAUCAACACCCAACUGUACAUCUUGGUUAGCUAGUGGCCAUCCUCCACUAUGAACUCAUACUUAGGGAUGGCCUCCUUGUCAAUGAGGCUAAGGAUGAUAAGGUUUAGCCUUGGGGUCCCCAUCAUAAUGAGCUCCUCCUUGGUGGUGGUGUUGCUAGCCUUGGCAUGGGCCUUCUUGUGGUCAAUCUCACAUUGGUGCUCCUUGGAGAUGAUGUUGAGCUUCAUGUGCUCGACCUGAUGGGCAUGCUUCUUGGUGAUGAGGUGGUAGAGCGGGGUUGGAGGGAUUAAGGCAAGAGUUGAUCAUGCAACUGCGAUGUUCAAUGGCUUUGUUACAAGCAUGUCCAUAGCUAGCAAGUUUCUACUUGCUGAGGGGGUUAGCUGACUUGAGUUUGGCCUUUUCUUUUGCAAUUCUACUCAUUGGAUGAGCUAUGCAGAAGUUGGUGGCUAAAGAAUGGGAUUAGGGUUUUGAGUGUCAUCCUCUCUCCUCUCCACUUGCACCCUCCCCAACCUUCACUCCCUCUUCUUCUUGGAGAAGACCCUUCUCUUGCCUAUCUUUAAACUUCUUCAACACCUCCUCUCCCUCUCGA